GCGGAAGUGGCGAAAUUGGUAGACGCACCAGAUUUAGGUUCUGGCGCCGCGAGGUCUGAGAGUUCGAGUCUCUCCUUCCGCACCA
RNAcentral lists this transfer RNA (85 nucleotides) under Vibrio vulnificus. RNAcentral describes it as "tRNA-Leu". It matches the Rfam family "tRNA". Rfam says of the family: Transfer RNA (tRNA) molecules are approximately 80 nucleotides in length. The record is from RNAcentral. Lineage: Bacteria; Pseudomonadati; Pseudomonadota; Gammaproteobacteria; Vibrionales; Vibrionaceae.